CCUACGGGAGGCAGCAGUGAGGAAUAUUGGUCAAUGGGCGCGAGCCUGAACCAGCCAAGCAGCGUGAAGGAUGACUGCCCUACGGGUUGUAAACUUCUUUUAUAAAGGAAUAAAGUGAGGCACGUGAGCCUUUUUGUAUGUACUUUAUGAAUAAGGAUCGGCUAACUCCGUGCCAGCAGCCGCGGUAAUACGGAGGAUCCGAGCGUUAACCGGAUUUAUUGGGUUUAAAGGGAGCGUAGAUGGGUUGUUAAGUCAGUGGUGAAAGUUUGCGGGUCAACCGUAAAAUUGCAAUUGAUACUGGCAGCCUUGAGUACAGUUGAGGUAGGCGGAAUGCGUAGUGUAGCGGUGAAAUGCUUAGAUAUCACGAUGAACUCCGAUUGCGAAGGCAGCUUACUAAACUGCAACUGACAUUGAUGCUCGAAAGUGUGGGUAUCAAACAGGAUUAGAUACCCCUGUAGUC
Molecule: ribosomal RNA, 460 nt
Filed under: uncultured bacterium
Lineage: Bacteria
Description: partial 16S ribosomal RNA
Rfam family: Bacterial small subunit ribosomal RNA
Source: RNAcentral